Indicator indicator is the source of this 405-nucleotide long non-coding RNA. RefSeq lists it as uncharacterized. NCBI's taxonomy places the organism in Eukaryota, Metazoa, Chordata, Aves, Piciformes, Indicatoridae. The record is from RefSeq and is a predicted model, not a curated record. The transcript is spliced from 3 exons.
UGGAAGGAAAAUGAAGACCCAUGGGAUCAACAUGCCAAAUGGUUUCCUGGGUGCAGCUUUGUGAGAAAUGAAAAGGGGAUAGAAUUUAUAAAUAAUGUCCACUUAAGAGAUGGAUGUAGGGAUUCAACACCAGAAGCUGCUGAAGGGAUGCUUCCUAAAGGUACCUGUUUAGAAAAAAAACCAAACCAAACACACAAACACCCCCACUCUCCCUGUUUUGCAAUAUCCAUAUUCACAUGUAUAGUAAAGGAAAUGGUUAAUUUUAAAAAUAACCUUAUUAUGUUUUUAAAGAAAGCAUGACAGGCACAUUAUUGGAUGAUACUUGUCCAUUGCUUCUAAAGAACCGUGGAAUGAAUUUUAUUUCUGUUCGGGGAAACCUAAUCAUGGUUGAAUAAAUAUUGUAAA